Erythranthe guttata (spotted monkey flower) is the source of this 634-nucleotide non-coding RNA. Lineage: Eukaryota; Viridiplantae; Streptophyta; Magnoliopsida; Lamiales; Phrymaceae. The record is from RefSeq and is a predicted model, not a curated record.
CACAACUCAAAAACAUGCACAAAAAAAAAAAAAAUUUACAGGUUGAUGAAGGCCAUGUGGAGGUUGGGAUGGGAGCUGAGCAAGGAAACCAAAUGCCUGAAGUUCAAGCUUCAACUGAAGCUUCAGUUUCAACACCACAAGUUCCAAGGACUGCAACAACCAAAGUUAGAAGAACUCACGAGAAAAUGAAAAUAACAGUCUGAAGAAACACAAUUGAAUCCUUUAAUCCCGAUCAAUCUUUUCCAAUAAUCCAGGCUCCAAUGAUUGUGAAAGGGGGUGUUAAUUUCAUUACACUAUCCAAUUUGACAUCAAAUGUGACCAAUCAACUGAAGGAAAACUCAUGCUCUGAAUUUGGUGCAAGUUUUGCUUCUAAGACCUCUUCCAAGUCAUCAUCUUCUUCCAAAUCAACGUAUGCCUCCAAGAUAAACAAAUGAUCAAGAUUUGAUGUUUUAAGUUUGCAAGUCAACCUUUGUUUUAUUGAAUGUUGAGACAUUGUACUUCUUUUUAAUUUGGAUAUUUUGUUCUGUUUAGAUGUGAUGACAUUUGUAAUUUAGUUUGGAUCUCAUGAAUGUUUGAUGUUUGGAUUUGACGUUAGUAGGUUUUUAUUUGAAUUUGAUGCAUAUUUGAUUUUUAA